AACGCACAUUGCGCCUCUCGGUAUUCCGGGAGGCACGCCUGUUCGAGCGCCAUUACACACUCCAAGCGAAGCUUGAUGUUGGGCGAAGCGGUCUAACCACCGCCCGCCUGGAACGCGUGGGCGCCCGCCGCCGGACCGCGAACGUAGCAAGACAAUCGUCAAGUCGUUCUGCGGGCUCCGACGGGGGGCUGCCUCAUAAACCAUUUUUAUAUCCAGUUUGGCCUCGGAUCAGGCGGGGAUACCCGCUGAACUUAA
RNAcentral lists this unclassified non-coding RNA (255 nucleotides) under uncultured fungus. RNAcentral describes it as "partial contains 5.8S ribosomal RNA, internal transcribed spacer 2, and large subunit ribosomal RNA". The record is from RNAcentral. Lineage: Eukaryota; Fungi.